GCGAGCCGCCGGGGACUACUGAACUUCAUGCCUGAGAGUGAUGCAGUCUGAGUCUGAAUAUAAAAUCAGUCAAAACUUUCAACAAUGGAUCUCUUGGUUCCGGCAUCGAUGAAGAACGCAGCGAACUGCGAUAAGUAAUGUGAAUUGCAGAAUUCAGUGAAUCAUCGAGUCUUUGAACGCACAUUGCGCCCCCUGGCAUUCCGGGGGGCAUGCCUGUCCGAGCGUCAUUGCUGCCCAUCAAGCCCGGCUUGUGUGUUGGGUCGUCGUCCCCCCCGGGGGACGGGCCCGAAAGGCAGCGGCGGCACCGUGUCCGGUCCUCGAGCGUAUGGGGCUUUGUCACCCGCUCGACUAGGGCCGGCCGGGCGCCAGCCGACGUCUCCAACCAUUUUUCUUCAGGUUGACCUCGGAUCAGGUAGGGAUACCCGCUGAACUUAAGCAUAUCAAUAAGCGGAGGAAAAGAAACCAACCGGGAUUGCCUCAGUAACGGCGAGUGAAGCGGCAAGAGCUCAAAUUUGAAAUCUGGCCCCUCCGGGGUCCGAGUUGUAAUUUGCAGAGGAUGCUUCGGGUGCGGCCCCUGUCUAAGUGCCCUGGAACGGGCCGUCAGAGAGGGUGAGAAUCCCGUCUUGGGCAGGGUGCCCGUGCCCGUGUGAAGCUCCUUCGACGAGUCGAGUUGUUUGGGAAUGCAGCUCAAAAUGGGUGGUAAAUUUCAUCUAAAGCUAAAUACCGGCCGGAGACCGAUAGCGCACAAGUAGAGUGAUCGAAAGAUGAAAAGCACUUUGAAAAGAGAGUUAAACAGCACGUGAAAUUGUUGAAAGGGAAGCGCUUG
Molecule: small RNA, 826 nt
Filed under: Aspergillus sp. B3_3_3_SC8
Lineage: Eukaryota; Fungi; Ascomycota; Eurotiomycetes; Eurotiales; Aspergillaceae
Description: eukaryotic LSU rRNA
Rfam family: Eukaryotic large subunit ribosomal RNA (bases 399-826)
Source: RNAcentral